RNAcentral lists this ribosomal RNA (500 nucleotides) under uncultured bacterium. Its description in RNAcentral is "partial 16S ribosomal RNA". It matches the Rfam family "Bacterial small subunit ribosomal RNA", at positions 30 to 523 of the family's 1533-position model. The record is from RNAcentral.
AUUGAACGCUGGCGGCAUGCCUUACACAUGCAAGUCGAACGGCAGCACGGGAGCAAUCCUGGUGGCGAGUGGCGAACGGGUGAGUAAUAUAUCGGAACGUGCCCAGUCGUGGGGGAUAACGCAGCGAAAGCUGUGCUAAUACCGCAUACGAUCUACGGAUGAAAGCGGGGGAUCGCAAGACCUCGCGCGAUUGGAGCGGCCGAUAUCAGAUUAGCUAGUUGGUGGGAUAAAGGCCCACCAAGGCGACGAUCUGUAGCUGGUCUGAGAGGACGACCAGCCACACUGGAACUGAGACACGGUCCAGACUCCUACGGGAGGCAGCAGUGGGGAAUUUUGGACAAUGGGCGCAAGCCUGAUCCAGCAAUGCCGCGUGCAGGAUGAAGGCCUUCGGGUUGUAAACUGCUUUUGUACGGAACGAAACGGCCCUUUCUAAUACAGGGGGCUAAUGACGGUACCGUAAGAAUAAGCACCGGCUAACUACGUGCCAGCAGCCGCCGUAA